UCCCCGGUGGUCCAGUGGUGAAGACUCUGUGCUUCUACUGUAGACAGUGCGGGUACAACUCCCGCUUGUGGAA
This 73-nucleotide transfer RNA is filed under the name Bos taurus (domestic cattle). It matches the Rfam family "tRNA". From Rfam's summary of the family: Transfer RNA (tRNA) molecules are approximately 80 nucleotides in length. Their secondary structure includes four short double-helical elements and three loops (D, anti-codon, and T loops). Further hydrogen bonds mediate the characteristic L-shaped molecular structure. tRNAs have two regions of fundamental functional importance: the anti-codon, which is responsible for specific mRNA codon recognition, and the 3' end, to which the tRNAs corresponding amino acid is attached (by aminoacyl-tRNA synthetases). tRNAs cope with the degeneracy of the genetic code in two manners: having more than one tRNA (with a specific anti-codon) for a particular amino acid; and 'wobble' base-pairing, i.e. permitting non-standard base-pairing at the 3rd anti-codon position. The record is from Rfam by way of RNAcentral. Lineage: Eukaryota; Metazoa; Chordata; Mammalia; Artiodactyla; Bovidae. RNAcentral also lists the same sequence under 3 other names.